Molecule: ribosomal RNA, 232 nt
Filed under: uncultured bacterium
Lineage: Bacteria
Description: partial 16S ribosomal RNA
Rfam family: Bacterial small subunit ribosomal RNA
Source: RNAcentral
UGAGUAACCUGCCCUUCACUCUGGGAUAACUCCGGGAAACCGGGCUAAUACUGGGUAUGACUCGAACAGGCAUCUGUUUCGGGUGGAAAGAUUUAUUGGUGGAGGAUGGACUCGCGGCCUAUCAGCUUGUUGGUGAGGUAACGGCUCACCAAGGCAACGAUGCGUAGCCGACCUGAGAGGGUNAUCGGCCACAUUGGAACUGAGACACGGUCCAGACCUCCGUACGGGAGCA